UACGUAGGGGGCUAGCGUUGUCCGGAAUCAUUGGGCGUAAAGAGCGUGUAGGCGGCCCGGUAAGUCCGCUGUGAAAGUCGGGGGCUCAACCCUCGGAUGCCGGUGGAUACUGUCGGGCUCGAGUACGGAAGAGGCGAGUGGAAUUCCUGGUGUAGCGGUGAAAUGCGCAGAUAUCAGGAGGAACACCUAUCGCGAAGGCAGCUCGCUGGGACGUUACUGACGCUGAGACGCGAAAGCGUGGGGAGCAAACAGG
Molecule: ribosomal RNA, 253 nt
Filed under: uncultured bacterium
Lineage: Bacteria
Description: partial 16S ribosomal RNA
Rfam family: Bacterial small subunit ribosomal RNA
Source: RNAcentral